AGGAGUUCCUGAUCAAGAGGCAAACACUCAGCGGGACAGAUGAAAAGCGUGCCUUAAUUACCUCUUUAAAGGACCUAUUUCCAAAUAUGGUCACAUUGGGGGCUAGGGCUUCAAUGUAUGGAUUUGGGUGGAGCAGGGCAUAAUUCAGUCCAUAACAGGGUCCACAGACCUCAUGUAAACACUGCUGCUGGGCAAAGGAGGCCAGCUGACUGUUGGGACCUGAAAGUGACAUGGUUAGAACUGCGUUUCAGAAGGACGCUUGUGGACCGUGUUGGUCUAUGAGUUCUAUCCUCAUCUGCCCCCCUGCCACAGGUUAGCAGGACGAGGCCAAGUGCCAUGAUCUGAACGUCCUGCCAGAUUCACAUGUUGAAGUUUAAUCACCACUGUGACAGUAUUAACAGGUGGGGCCUUCAGGGAAUGACUAAGUCAUGAGGGCAGAGCCCUCACGAUGGGAUUAGUGAUGUUAUGGAAAGGCGUGAGGGGCCAGUUCAUCCCAUCCACGGUGUGAAGACACAGCCUUCACGAUGGAGCAGCAACAAGGCAAUGUCUUGGAAGUGGAGACUGGGCCCUCACCAGACACCAAGCUUGAUGGUGCCUUGAGCUUGGACUUCUAAGCCUCCAGAAAUGUGGGAAAUACAUUUCUGUUGCUUAUAAAUCACUCAGUCUGUGGUAUGGUAUAUAGCAGCACAAGGGAACUAAGACACCAAAGCAAAGAGAAGGCUAACUUCUUGGCUUCUGGCUUCCCGAACAACUGUCCCAGCCCUGGGUGGCUGCACUGGUUGCAGAUGGUUCUACUGACUCCAUCCUCUUUGGUAUCUUUUUAGUAUGAUACCUGGAUUGUCUUUUGACCUUAGAAUCUCAGGAUUUGUCAUUUUUGUUUAGCCCAUGUGACACCUCCCUGGUUUGUGAUUAGGCUGUAAGCUCCUUCAUGGGUGGGCCUCUUUUGUGUCUUGUGUGUGUCCCAGUGCCUCGGGGGUCACAGAUGCUCAGGGAAUGCUUGCUGAGAGUGAAUAGUCUCCCAGUCAGUUCCAGGUGUUCUAGGCCUUGUCAACGGGCCACAGCCCAUGUCCUCGGGCAGGAGCAUCCUCCCUCUCCCCAGGCUUCUGCUGGAAAGGAGCCCUCCUUCUCUUCCUUGCAGUAGGUGGGCAGACAGGCUCCCUGGUGGGUGCAGAACACACUCUGCUAGGACUUUUUGGCAUUUACUUAAGACAUGGGCUUGGCUUUGUGCAUUCCGACAGGCUCUGGACCCAGAGCCCAGCCCCAUGAGAAAGAUGGUAAUUUUCCCACAGCUGAGGGCUGGGGAAGGAAAGGCAGGUAGGCCAGCUGGAGGAUGGUACUUGAAACAAGGCAGGGGCCAGGGACGGGUGCCCCCCAGGCUUAACUGACAGAGGGAGGGGAGAAACAGGCAAGCAUUUUCUUACUCCUGCCCAUCUGCUUUCUUUCUCAAGACUGCCUCCGACAGAUCGCCCAAGCACACUUGAAGCCUUUCACAGGGUGCCCUCAGGUGGCCUUUUGGGGAAUCACACCCAUCCAAUGGAUUAAACGAUUCUUGGCUGGUUCCAGCUAAGUUGCUAACCUGUGAGGCUGGCUGCCAUCAUUGCCAUUUUACUGAUAAAAUUGAGGCUCAGUGAGGCAGGAUGACUUGCUCCAGCUCAAAGUGACAGUCAGCUCCUGAACCUAGGUCUGCCCUGUCCUACUGCCUCUAAGUCCCUUCUGAGUCCACAGAACUACGUCUCAAAAAAUUGAAAUGGCAUCAAGCGUUUCCUUGGUUCCAAUCUUGAUCUGAUGCAUCUCUGUUAUUUCCUCCCAUGCAGGUGGUCAGACCCUGUUUGAACACUUCCAGCCGUGGGCAAAUCAUCACCUCACACAGCAUCCACUGACAUGCUGGCAGUGUUUGUGGGAAGAGAAGUAGUAAAGCCACUGAGACCAGAAGGUGGAACUUAGCUGGGAGUCUCUCCUUGGCCUGGGGGAGGUGAAAAGGCACAGAGCACUAAGACCCAGUCAUGUGCGGCAGCACCACGCAGAGGCCAGCCUGCAGGAUUUUCACGGGCAAAAUUUUGGUGGAUGCUUCCUCUCCUGCCUGGACGUGGGGGUGCUCAAAGCCUACCACUUCUAGGAACCUUUCUCAGGCCUCACGGGAGGAGUAAUGAAGGCAAAACCUUGGGCUGAGGUGCUGAUUCCUGCACUGUCUCCCCUUCCCCAGGCAGAUUUUCAAUUUACACCCGAAUGUGCAUAGGCCUCUGGCCCUUUAUUUAUUUGUUGGGAGAUGGAGUCUCGCUUUGUUGCCCAGGCUGGAGUGCAGUGGUGCAAUCUUGGCUCAAUGCAGCCUCCACCUGGGUUCAAGUGAUUCUCCUGCCUCAGCCUCCUGAGUAGCUAGGAUUACAGGCGUGCACCACCAUGCCUGGCUAAUUUUUGUAUCUGUAGUAGAGAAGGGGUUUUGCCAUGUUGGUCAGGCUGGUCUUGAACUCCUGACCUCAAGGGAUCCACCUGCCUUGGGCUCCCAAAGUAUUGGGAUUACGGGCGUGAGCCACCAUGCCCAGCCCACUGACCCUUUAGUAUCCAGAAAAGCAAGAACCCUGGCUGGGGAGUGCUGUGCUGGCCCUGCAGUGGAAGGCAGUAGCUGCCAACUUACUAUGUGCUGGGCGUUGUGCUGGCGCUUUUCACAUACAACUUCAAUUAACCCACAGGCUCCUAUAAGGUAGAAGCAACUACAUUUACAGAUGAGGAAGCUUGUAUCCAAGGUUAAGUAGUAAGUAGGGAAAAGCAGGAUUAAGCCAUAGGCCUUCGGAGCUUCGGGACUGCGUUCCAAACCAUCAUCUGCUGUGCCUCUUCAUGCCCCUGGGGCCCUGUGUCUUCAUCUUUGCUUAGGGGGCCAGGGAAGAUGCAAAUGUCGUCCUGGCCCCUGGGCCUCUGCUCCAAGCUCAUGACCACUCUUGGAUGUCCAUUGCAGGCUGGUACUGAGGCUCUGAAACACCAAGCCCUUCAAGCGUGAUGGAGGGAGCUGGUUUAUUAUUAAAUGGCAUUGUCCCCAAGGAGUGGCAACUCUCCACCUCUCCAUGAAAACACAACCUCCUAGAGAAGGUAUCUCUUUCCAACUACUGUGCCUUCAAUCUCCAACCUCAAUUGUUUCCCAUCAAGACAAUUUUUUUUUUUUUUGUAACAGGGUCUUACUUUGUCGCCCAGGCUGGCAUGCAGUGGCACAAUCAUGGCUCACUGCAGUCUUGACCUCCCUAGCUCAAGUGUGAUCUUCCCAUUCAGCCUCCUGAGUAGUUGGGACCACAAGCAUACACCACCAUGCUUGGGUAAAUUUUUUUUUUUUUAGAGAUGGGGUCUCACUAUAUUGCCCAGGCUGGUCUCAAACUCCUGGUCUAAGUGAUCCUCCUGCCUCAGCCUCCCAAAGUGGUGGGAUUACAGACAUGAGCCACUGUGAUUGACCUCUUUUUUUUUUUUUUGAGACAGUCUAACUCUGUUGCCCAGGCUGGAGUGCAGUGACACAAACUUGGCUCACUGCAACCUCUGCCUCCUGGGUUGGAGCAAUUCUCCUGCCUCAGCCUCCCAAGUAGUUGGGAUUACAGGUGCCUGCCACCAUGCCCGGCUAAUUUUUGUAUUUUUAGUAGAGACAGGGUUUCACUAUGUUGGCCAGGCUGGUAUCAAACUCCUGACCUUGUGAUCCGCCUGCCUCGGCCUCCCAAAGUGCUGGGAUUACAAGCGUGAGCCACUGCGCCCGGCCAGACCUCUUUUCUUUUUCUUUUUUUGCUAAUAAAACAGUUAAGACAAUUGUCCAUUUUAUUUGUUAAAUUGCUAAAAAGUCAUCAGGGGAAAACAUUAACAAAAAAU
This 3837-nucleotide long non-coding RNA is filed under the name Homo sapiens (human). RNAcentral's name for it is "HSALNT0002224". The record is from RNAcentral. Lineage: Eukaryota; Metazoa; Chordata; Mammalia; Primates; Hominidae.